Molecule: ribosomal RNA, 550 nt
Filed under: Rhodotorula graminis
Lineage: Eukaryota; Fungi; Basidiomycota; Microbotryomycetes; Sporidiobolales; Sporidiobolaceae
Description: partial large subunit ribosomal RNA
Rfam family: Eukaryotic large subunit ribosomal RNA
Source: RNAcentral
AACAAGGAUUCCCCUAGUAGCGGCGAGCGAAGCGGGAAGAGCUCAAAUUUAUAAUCUGGCACCUUCGGUGUCCGAGUUGUAAUCUCUAGAAGUGUUUUCCGCGUUGGACCGCACACAAGUCUGUUGGAAUACAGCGGCAUAGUGGUGAAACCCCCGUAUAUGGUGCGGACGCCCAGCGCUUUGUGAUACACUUUCAAUGAGUCGAGUUGUUUGGGAAUGCAGCUCAAAUUGGGUGGUAAAUUCCAUCUAAAGCUAAAUAUUGGCGAGAGACCGAUAGCGAACAAGUACCGUGAGGGAAAGAUGAAAAGCACUUUGGAAAGAGAGUUAACAGUACGUGAAAUUGUUGGAAGGGAAACGCUUGAAGUCAGACUUGCUUGCCGGAGCUUGCUUCGGUUUGCAGGCCAGCAUCAGUUUUCCGGGGUGGAUAAUGACGGUUUGAAGGUAGCAGUCUCGGCUGUGUUAUAGCUUUCCGUUGGAUACAUCCUGGGGGACUGAGGAACGCAGCGUGCUUUUUGCGAAAGACUCGUCUUUUUCACGCUUAGGAUGCUGG